This 219-nucleotide non-coding RNA is filed under the name Kiloniella litopenaei. RNAcentral also lists the same sequence under 1 other name. The record is from RNAcentral. Lineage: Bacteria; Pseudomonadati; Pseudomonadota; Alphaproteobacteria; Rhodospirillales; Kiloniellaceae.
GACAGCAUCUGCGGCGAUGGUUUCUGGAUAUCAAAGCUGAGUCCGGGAUGAAAAGGGAACACGGUGCGGUGUAACCAUCAGGUGCCAAUUCCGUGACUGCCCCCGCAACUGUAAGCGGCGAGCUAUUCUGAGAUUAACCACUGCCCCAAAGGGGGCGGGAAGGUUCAGAAGAUGCAUCGACCCGCAAGUCAGGAGACCUGCCAUCUUGUUAUCAACGCG